RNAcentral lists this ribosomal RNA (585 nucleotides) under uncultured bacterium. RNAcentral's name for it is "partial 16S ribosomal RNA". It matches the Rfam family "Bacterial small subunit ribosomal RNA", at positions 355 to 1375 of the family's 1533-position model. The record is from RNAcentral.
UGGGGAAUUUUGGACAAUGGGCGAAAGCCUGAUCCAGCAAUGCCGCGUGUGUGAAGAAGGCCUUCGGGUUGUAAAGCACUUUUGUCCGGAAAGAAAUCCUUGGCUCUAAUACAGUCGGGGGAUGACGGUACCGGAAGAAUAAGCACCGGCUAACUACGUGCCAGCAGCCGCGGUAAUACGUAGGGUGCAAGCGUUAAUCGGAAUUACUGGGCGUAAAGCGUGCGCAGGCGGUUUGCUAAGACCGAUGUGAAAUCCCCGGGCUCAACCUGGGAACUGCAUUGGUGACUGGCAGGCUAGAGUAUGGCAGAGGGGGGUAGAAUUCCACGUGUAGCAGUGAAAUGCGUAGAGAUGUGGAGGAAUACCGAUGGCGAAGGCAGCCCCCUGGGCCAAUACUGACGCUCAUGCACGAAAGCGUGGGGAGCAAACAGGAUUAGAUACCCUGGUAGUCCACGCCCUAAACGAUGUCGACUAGUUGUUGGGGAUUCAUUUCCUUAGUAACGUAGCUAACGCGUGAAGUUGACCGCCUGGGGAGUACGGUCGCAAGAUUAAAACUCAAAUGAAUUGACGGGGUCAUAGCUGUUUCCU